GCUUGAUUGGCGUGCAUUUGGGGCCUGGCAGGAAGAAGAGGCUCAAAAAGAAACGUGGUCGCCAUCCCAGAAAAAGAGCUGAUGUUUCUAAUGAGAAAUCUCACCCUAGAGCUGUUCAACCACCAGAUAGAGCAGUUGCGCUUCCCUGUGGCUCCCUGGGAGUGAACCACAUGUGUAACAUGCAUUUGAUGGCUUCCAUCUGUCGCUCACUGGCUUCAUUAUGUAAG
This is a long non-coding RNA of Pelmatolapia mariae (spotted tilapia), 227 nucleotides long. RefSeq lists it as uncharacterized. The transcript is spliced from 3 exons. NCBI's taxonomy places the organism in Eukaryota, Metazoa, Chordata, Actinopteri, Cichliformes, Cichlidae. The record is from RefSeq and is a predicted model, not a curated record.